UACGAGUUUGAUCCUGGCUCAGAGCGAACGUUAGCGGCGGGCCUAACACAUGCAAGUCGAACGCGAAAGGUCUUCGGACUGAGUAGAGUGGCGCACGGGUGAGUAACACGUAGGUAAUCUACCCUUUGGCGGGGGAUAACGUUCCGAAAGGAGCGCUAAUACCGCAUAAGACCACGGAGUCUCCGGACGCUGUGGGAAAAGGUGGCCUCUUCUUGAAAGCUACCACCGAAGGAUGAGCCUGCGUCCCAUCAGCUAGUUGGUAAGGUAAUGGCUUACCAAGGCGAAGACGGGUAGCUGGUUUGAGAAAAUGAUCAGCCACACUGGCACUGGAACACGGGCCAGACUCCUACGGGAGGCAGCAGUGAGGAAUAUUGGGCAAUGGGCGAAAGCCUGACCCAGCCACGCCGCGUGAGUGAUGAAGGCCCUCGGGUCGUAAAGCUCUGUGGAGAGGGACGAAAAACCCUGGUUUCAAAUAGGCUCCAGGCUUGACGGUACCUCUUUAGCAAGCACCGGCUAACUCUGUG
RNAcentral lists this ribosomal RNA (524 nucleotides) under uncultured bacterium. RNAcentral's name for it is "bacterial SSU rRNA". It matches the Rfam family "Bacterial small subunit ribosomal RNA", at positions 1 to 507 of the family's 1533-position model. The record is from RNAcentral.